This 667-nucleotide ribosomal RNA is filed under the name Burkholderia sp. Cs131. Its description in RNAcentral is "bacterial SSU rRNA". It matches the Rfam family "Bacterial small subunit ribosomal RNA", at positions 90 to 753 of the family's 1533-position model. The record is from RNAcentral. Lineage: Bacteria; Pseudomonadati; Pseudomonadota; Betaproteobacteria; Burkholderiales; Burkholderiaceae.
GGCGAGUGGCGAACGGGUGAGUCAUACAUCGGAACGUGUCCUGGAGUGGGGGAUCGCCCGGCGAAAGCCGGAUUAAUACCGCAUACGAUCUCUGGAUGAAAGCGGGGGACCGAAAGGCCUCGCGCUCAAGGGGCGGCCGAUGGCAGAUUAGCUAGUUGGUGGGGUAAAGGCCUACCAAGGCGACGAUCUGUAGCUGGUCUGAGAGGACGACCAGCCACACUGGGACUGAGACACGGCCCAGACUCCUACGGGAGGCAGCAGUGGGGAAUUUUGGACAAUGGGGGCAACCCUGAUCCAGCAAUGCCGCGUGUGUGAAGAAGGCCUUCGGGUUGUAAAGCACUUUUGUCCGGAAAGAAAACCGCUUCUCUAAUACAGAGGUGGGAUGACGGUACCGGAAGAAUAAGCACCGGCUAACUACGUGCCAGCAGCCGCGGUAAUACGUAGGGUGCGAGCGUUAAUCGGAAUUACUGGGCGUAAAGCGUGCGCAGGCGGUUCGCUAAGACCGAUGUGAAAUCCCCGGGCUUAACCUGGGAACUGCAUUGGUGACUGGCGGGCUAGAGUAUGGCAGAGGGGGGUAGAAUUCCACGUGUAGCAGUGAAAUGCGUAGAGAUGUGGAGGAAUACCGAUGGCGAAGGCAGCCCCCUGGGCCAAUACUGACGCUCAUGCA